UGGGGAAUUUUGGACAAUGGGCGCAAGCCUGAUCCAGCCAUGCCGCGUGCGGGAAGAAGGCCUUCGGGUUGUAAACCGCUUUUGUCAGGGAAGAAAUCUUCUGAGUUAAUACCUCGGGAGGAUGACGGUACCUGAAGAAUAAGCACCGGCUAACUACGUGCCAGCAGCCGCGGUAAUACGUAGGGUGCAAGCGUUAAUCGGAAUACUGGGCGUAAAGCGUGCGCAGGCGGUUUUGUAAGACAGAGGUGAAAUCCCCGGGCUCAACCUGGGAACUGCCUUUGUGACUGCAAGGCUUGAGUGCGGCAGAGGGGGAUGGAAUUCCGCGUGUAGCAGUGAAAUGCGUAGAUAUGCGGAGGAACACCGAUGGCGAAGGCAAUCCCCUGGGCCUGCACUGACGCUCAUGCACGAAAGCGUGGGGAGCAAACAGGAUUAGAUACCCCUGGUAGUCCACGCCCUAAACGAUGUCAACUGGUUGUUGGGAAGGUUCCUUCUCAGUAACGUAGCUAACGCGUAAGUUGACCGCCUGGGGAGUACGGCCGCAAGGUUGAAACUCAAAGGAAUUGACGGGGG
Molecule: ribosomal RNA, 570 nt
Filed under: uncultured bacterium
Lineage: Bacteria
Description: partial 16S ribosomal RNA
Rfam family: Bacterial small subunit ribosomal RNA
Source: RNAcentral